UGCAACAAUACCAUCUGCAGCUGAG
Molecule: non-coding RNA, 25 nt
Filed under: Mus musculus (house mouse)
Lineage: Eukaryota; Metazoa; Chordata; Mammalia; Rodentia; Muridae
Source: RNAcentral